Molecule: unclassified non-coding RNA, 915 nt
Filed under: Hevea brasiliensis (rubber tree)
Lineage: Eukaryota; Viridiplantae; Streptophyta; Magnoliopsida; Malpighiales; Euphorbiaceae
Source: RNAcentral
UCCGCCACUCAGAAUCAGCCCAUCGUACUCAGGGUUACACGAAAUUGCCCACGUCCAGUGUGCAUGUCCAGGGAGCUCUUUGAUAGGAACCUUUGGCAUUCUAAGGUCCCAUACAUGUAUUCCAGAUUCAUCCUCUGCAGUAACAAGUAUGUGCUUCUUCUUGGUGUCAUAGUCAACAUUGCGGACAUGGGUACAGUCAAUUGAAUUUGUCUUGUUCAUUGUUCGUAGAUCCCAAAACUGGACUGAGGAUUCACAAGUUGCUGCAACAGCAUUCACAUCAUGCGGGUCCCAGGCUCCACCAGAUAAAUAAUGCAACAUACCAGCUGACUCCUUAGAUUGCACCUGGGCUGCUUUUUUAGAACAAUCUAAACUCCAUAAGAAAAGAUUUUCCUCAUCAAUGCUGAUCAGCUUAUCAUUUCUCCCAGAUGGCCACCACAAAAUGCAAUUAAUCUUGCCAGAGUGUGCAUCAAGAGAUGCAAUUUUUUCUAAUUGAGGUGAAUUUAGCUGGCCAUAUAACUCAGGAAUCUGCCAUACAGCUGCUCCAUAUGAUUCACCAGUGGAGAAGACAGUGGAGAAGAUGCGUUGAUCAAAGGGACACGAAGAGAGGUCCCAGAUCUCAUUAGGAUGCGAAAACAAGCCCUCGCAUAUGAGUUCAGUUCCACCAGAAGAAAGCCGAAUCAAAUGCACCUCAUUUUCCUCUCUAAGGCUGAGAGUGCCGGUGAUGAAGCUGGUGUGAUCGAUAUCUGCUUUCACAUCUGAUAUGCAUCUAGCCUGAUAUUUGAGACCAUAUCCUACGCCUGAAGAUGCUCCUUGCAUUUUCGUGAGCAGUAGGCUGUCGACACCACUACCAAAAAAAGUAUCAAAACUAGCUAACUCUCCAUGGUAACGCUACCAGCAACGACUUAUGCUUUUCUU